Molecule: ribosomal RNA, 466 nt
Filed under: uncultured bacterium
Lineage: Bacteria
Description: partial 16S ribosomal RNA
Rfam family: Bacterial small subunit ribosomal RNA
Source: RNAcentral
GACGAACGCUGGCGGCGCGCCUAACACAUGCAAGUCGAACGAGCGAGAGAGAGCUUGCUUUCUUGAGCGAGUGGCGAACGGGUGAGUAACGCGUGAGGAACCUGCCUCAAAGAGGGGGACAACAGUUGGAAACGACUGCUAAUACCGCAUAAGCCCACGGUGCCGCAUGGCACCGAGGGAAAAGGAGCAAUCCGCUUUGAGAUGGCCUCGCGUCCGAUUAGCUAGUUGGUGAGGUAACGGCCCACCAAGGCGACGAUCGGUAGCCGGACUGAGAGGUUGAACGGCCACAUUGGGACUGAGACACGGCCCAGACUCCUACGGGAGGCAGCAGUGGGGAAUAUUGCACAAUGGGGGAAACCCUGAUGCAGCGACGCCGCGGGGAGGAAGAAGGUCUUCGGAUUGUAAACUCCGGUUGUUGGGGAAGAUAAUGACGGUACCCAACAAGGAAGUGACGGCUAACUACGUG